CACGGGUGAGUAACACGUAUCCAACCUGCCGUCUACUCUUGGACAGCCUUCUGAAAGGAAGAUUAAUACAAGAUGGCAUCAUGAGUCCGCAUGUUCACAUGAUUAAAGGUAUUCCGGUAGACGAUGGGGAUGCGUUCCAUUAGAUAGUAGGCGGGGUAACGGCCCACCUAGUCUUCGAUGGAUAGGGGUUCUGAGAGGAAGGUCCCCCACAUUGGAACUGAGACACGGCCCAGACUCCUACGGGAGGCAGCAUG
Molecule: ribosomal RNA, 254 nt
Filed under: uncultured bacterium
Lineage: Bacteria
Description: partial 16S ribosomal RNA
Rfam family: Bacterial small subunit ribosomal RNA
Source: RNAcentral